AUGGCCGUAACACAAUGUGUACUUGGAAGAGCAUUAUGAAGAGGGAAAUAUGGUAUUAAUUCGUUGAAUAGGCACACCAAACAUGCCAGGAACUGGAAACUGAGUAAAGGUUCCUGGGAAACCAUAUGAACACUAACCAAGUAUUAUGAGCGAGAGUGUAUUUACGUAACCCAUGCAUUUUGAACCCUUGAAGUCAUAUUAACCCACAGCCAAGCGCUCUGUAUCAAAGGCCGCCAAAGAUUAUAAAACGCAACAAGUAUUACAGAACAUUCCAGUUCAUAACAGAUUGGUUUGUUCUGAUAAACAGAUUGUUCACGAGACAGAUGGGUUUCAACCUACAACUUUAUUUUCAUGAAGCAGACAGGAAGUUCAAGCAGAUACUUGGCAUUAGUUCACUUUGGUUAGCCCUGGAUGCAGCACAGUGCAAGCCAAGAAACCUAAUCGAGAUGGGCGUGAAUAGAACAAGGAGACUAAUAGACUUCCUGGUUGAUGAAGGUACCAUGGUAAAGUAACGGACAUAAAUCAUUUUUACAGUUAUGACUAUUCUUGUUGUCAUCUUGAUUGUUUUUGGCUCACCUGUGAGCCUUUACAAUGAUGCAGCGUCCGUCGUCCGUCGUUAAACAUGGGUGACACGUUUUGUUACCACUGAAGCUAUUGAACUCCAACUUGGUACACAUGUACCCUUUGGUGACCGC
Lineus longissimus is the source of this 695-nucleotide long non-coding RNA. RefSeq lists it as uncharacterized. The record is from RefSeq and is a predicted model, not a curated record. NCBI's taxonomy places the organism in Eukaryota, Metazoa, Nemertea, Pilidiophora, Heteronemertea, Lineidae. The transcript has 3 exons.